UUGCGGGUUGUCACGACCAGAAGAUCGGGUCCGGAUCGGACCCAGGGGACUAAGUGCAUUGGGGAGAGAGAUUGUGUGUAAUUUGGUAAAGACGAGCCCGCAACCAGCAUCCCUUGUUAAGUCGCGAAAUGCGAGUCACAGCUGCAUGGCUGGUUGCCCGUGGUCCAGGAAGGGAACCUGUACCCUGGAAACCAACUGGUUCUCUGUCAUUAGCAGAUAACAUCACUGACAAGAAGGACAAGCAUGGGUCUUUGGUCUGUAUCCAGGAGAUGCAAGCCAUGUUUGCCUGCUGGAAGAAAUAUGACUUCAAUGAAACGAAAUGUAGUAGUGAACUAGAAGCGUUUGAAAAAUGUCAUCGCACUUAUUUGGGACAGCGAGACGCCCACACGAAGAGUUCACCGGACGGCGUUCUCGGUCACGGCUCGGACCAGAAGCUCACGGCCCGUCAGGCAAACUUGCUCCUCAAACUGUAUCCGAACCCUAGAUAGCAGAUACAUGAUAAGCCUCGCGUACGUGAGUGUGCAUUGUGGUAGAUGUGCUACGCGACGAUGUCGAUGUUUUGUACUUUCAUGAAUGAGUUUUUUCGCAUUGUGUAUGAAUGUGAUGUGUGCUUAUUGUUUAAGCAAAUGUGUCACCUUGAGGAAAUGAAAUAUUAACGGUGA
Molecule: long non-coding RNA, 662 nt
Organism: Pollicipes pollicipes
Lineage: Eukaryota; Metazoa; Arthropoda; Thecostraca; Pollicipedomorpha; Pollicipedidae
Exons: 4
Source: RefSeq, a predicted model, not a curated record